Molecule: ribosomal RNA, 443 nt
Filed under: uncultured bacterium
Lineage: Bacteria
Description: partial 16S ribosomal RNA
Rfam family: Bacterial small subunit ribosomal RNA
Source: RNAcentral
CCUACGGGUGACAGCAGUGGGGAAUAUUGGGCAAUGGAGGAAACUCUGACCCAGCAACGCCGCGUGAAUGAUGAAGGUCUUCGGGUUGUAAAGUUCUUUUCUUAGGGACGAAGAAAGUGACGGUACCUUAGGAAUAAGCCUCGGCUAACUACGUGCCAGCAGCCGCGGUAAUACGUAGGUGGCGAGCGUUAUCCGGAUUGACUGGGCGUAAAGGGUGCGUAGGUGGUUUGGCAAGUUAGUAGUGUAACUCAAGGGCUCAACCUAUGAACUGCUACUGAAACUGUAGGACUUGAGUGCAGGAGAGGCAAGCGGAAUUCCUAGUGUAGCGGUGGAAUGCGUAGAUAUUAGGAGGAACACCAGUGGCGAAGGCGGGUUGCUAGACUGUAACUGACGCUGAGGCACGAAAGCGUGGGGAGCAAACAGGAUUAGAUACCCGAGUAGUC